This 576-nucleotide ribosomal RNA is filed under the name uncultured bacterium. RNAcentral's name for it is "bacterial SSU rRNA". It matches the Rfam family "Bacterial small subunit ribosomal RNA", at positions 118 to 679 of the family's 1533-position model. The record is from RNAcentral.
UGGGUAACCUGCCCUUGAAGUAGGGGAUAACACUUGGAAACAGGUGCUAAUACCGUAUAACAACCAAAACCACCUGGUUUUGGUUUAAAAGACGGCUUCGGCUGUCACUUUAGGAUGGACCCGCGGCGCAUUAGCUUGUUGGUAAGGUAACGGCUUACCAAGGCGAUGAUACGUAGCCGACCUGAGAGGGUAAUCGGCCACAUUGGGACUGAGACACGGCCCAAACUCCUACGGGAGGCAGCAGUAGGGAAUCUUCCACAAUGGACGAAAGUCUGAUGGAGCAACGCCGCGUGAGUGAUGAAGGGUUUCGGCUCGUAAAACUCUGUUGUUGGAGAAGAACAGGUGUCAGAGUAACUGUUGACAUCUUGACGGUAUCCAACCAGAAAGCCACGGCUAACUACGUGCCAGCAGCCGCGGUAAUACGUAGGUGGCAAGCGUUGUCCGGAUUUAUUGGGCGUAAAGCGAGCGCAGGCGGUUUUUUAGGUCUGAUGUGAAAGCCUUCGGCUUAACCGGAGAAGUGCAUCGGAAACCGGGAGACUUGAGUGCAGAAGAGGACAGUGGAACUCCAUGUGUAGC